This 465-nucleotide ribosomal RNA is filed under the name Vreelandella stevensii. RNAcentral describes it as "partial 16S ribosomal RNA". It matches the Rfam family "Bacterial small subunit ribosomal RNA", at positions 338 to 795 of the family's 1533-position model. The record is from RNAcentral. Lineage: Bacteria; Pseudomonadati; Pseudomonadota; Gammaproteobacteria; Oceanospirillales; Halomonadaceae.
CCUACGGGUGGCAGCAGUGGGGAAUAUUGGACAAUGGGGGCAACCCUGAUCCAGCCAUGCUGCGUGUGUGAAGAAGGCCCUCGGGUUGUAAAGCACUUUCAGUGAGGAAGAACGCCUGGUGGUUAAUACCCAUCAGGAAAGACAUCACUCACAGAAGAAGCACCGGCUAACUCCGUGCCAGCAGCCGCGGUAAUACGGAGGGUGCGAGCGUUAAUCGGAAUUACUGGGCGUAAAGCGCGCGUAGGUGGCUUGAUAAGCCGGUUGUGAAAGCCCCGGGCUCAACCUGGGAACGGCAUCCGGAACUGUCAAGCUAGAGUGCAGGAGAGGAAGGUAGAAUUCCCGGUGUAGCGGUGAAAUGCGUAGAGAUCGGGAGGAAUACCAGUGGCGAAGGCGGCCUUCUGGACUGACACUGACACUGAGGUGCGAAAGCGUGGGUAGCAAACAGGAUUAGAUACCCGAGUAGUC